ACUGUAGGAGUAUUAAACAUUUUCUACAUAAAUCCAUUCAAUGUAACUUACUGGUGGUACAAGGGGCUUUUGUUGAUUGGAUGCAUGGUUGCAAGUGUUGUUAUAUUUGGGGUCUCGUGAUUGCUUUAUGGCAUCUUUGGGAAAGGAAAACCUCAUUGAAGGAGGAGCCAGAGGACAGCACAAAGAAGAUCGACAUCCUGCAGCAGAAUGAGGCCUCUUUAAAGAAGUAUCUUGAAGAGGCUCGAUGAAGGAGGAGCCCGACGACAACACAAAGAAGGUCGACAUCCUGCAGCAAAAUGAGGCCUCUUUACACAAGAAUCUUGAAGAGGCUCGAUCUGUUAAUA
This 344-nucleotide long non-coding RNA is filed under the name Nicotiana benthamiana. RNAcentral describes it as "long non-coding RNA (NBEN_LNC008014)". The record is from RNAcentral. Lineage: Eukaryota; Viridiplantae; Streptophyta; Magnoliopsida; Solanales; Solanaceae.